This 775-nucleotide ribosomal RNA is filed under the name uncultured Neocallimastigales. RNAcentral's name for it is "partial large subunit ribosomal RNA". It matches the Rfam family "Eukaryotic large subunit ribosomal RNA", at positions 24 to 637 of the family's 3401-position model. The record is from RNAcentral. Lineage: Eukaryota; Fungi; Neocallimastigomycota; Neocallimastigomycetes; Neocallimastigales.
UUAUCUCUGUAGAGUCUGCAUAUCAAUAAGCGGAGGAAAAGAAACUAACAAGGAUUCCCCUAGUAACGGCGAGUGAAGCGGGAAGAGCUCAAAUUUGAAAUCUUCAAGGUUUACCUUGACGAAUUGUAGUUUAAAGAAGUGUUUUCUGUUAGUGGAGUAGUAAAAGUUCUUUGGAAUAGGACAUCAUAGAGGGUGAGAAUCCCGUAUUUGGACUAUUCCUUCUAGCGUUGUGAUACACUUUCAAAGAGUCGGAUUGUUUGGGAAUGCAGUCCAAAAUGGGUGGUAAAUUUCAUCUAAAGCUAAAUAUUGGCGAGAGACCGAUAGCGAACAAGUACCGUGAGGGAAAGAUGAAAAGAACUUUGAAAAGAGAGUUAAACAGUACGUGAAAUUGUCAAAAGGGAAGCGUUUGACACCAGUGUUGUUUUUCCGAAAAUCAAUUAUAAAUGUUUUGUUUCUGAGGAGUGAUGACUUCAUCGGCUUCCUUCUCUCUUCACGAAACUUUUGUAAUGCACUUUUCGGUUAACAAGUCAACAUCAAUUUCUUUUGUUGUAAAAGAGUAUUCGGAAGGUGGCUUUCUUUUCGGAGAAAGUGUUUAUAGCCCUAUACUUCUACAAUCGGAGAGAUUGAGGUCUGCAGCGUAGAUCCUUCGGGGUUAGAUACAUUUGUGCUAAGUUAUAGCUUUUCAUAGACAACUUGUUGACUAUGUUUAGUCUUGUAGCUUACUCGCUUAUGCUAUUUUACCUACGCUUAGGAUGUUGAGCGCAUGUCUCUCUCU